Molecule: ribosomal RNA, 459 nt
Filed under: uncultured bacterium
Lineage: Bacteria
Description: partial 16S ribosomal RNA
Rfam family: Bacterial small subunit ribosomal RNA
Source: RNAcentral
CCUACGGGCGGCAGCAGUGAGGAAUAUUGGUCAAUGGGCGGGAGCCUGAACCAGCCAAGCCGCGUGAGGGAAGAAGGUACAGCGUAUCGUAAACCUCUUUUGUCAGGGAACAAAGGCGGGGACUAGUCCCCGGAUGAGGGUACCUGAAGAAAAAGCAUCGGCUAACUCCGUGCCAGCAGCCGCGGUAAUACGGAGGAGGCGAGCGUUAUCCGGAUUUAUGGGGGUUAAGGGGUGCGCAGGCGGCCUGUUAAGUCAGCGGUAAAAGCCCGGGGCUAAACCCCGGCGAGCCGUUGAAACUGGCGGGCUGGAGUUGGAGAGAAGUACGCGGAAUGCGCGGUGUAGCGGUGAAAUGCUUAGAUAUCGCGCAGAACCCCGAUUGCGAAGGCAGCGUACCGGCUCCACACUGACGCUGAGGCACGAAAGCGUGGGUAUCGAACAGGAUUAGAUACCCCGGUAGUC